UCCUUGGUGGCUCAGUGGUAAAGAAUCUGCCUGCCAAGCAGGAGAAUCAGGUUCGAUCCCUGGGUCGGGAA
Molecule: transfer RNA, 71 nt
Filed under: Capra hircus (goat)
Lineage: Eukaryota; Metazoa; Chordata; Mammalia; Artiodactyla; Bovidae
Also listed under: 1 other name
Rfam family: tRNA
About the family: Transfer RNA (tRNA) molecules are approximately 80 nucleotides in length.
Source: Rfam by way of RNAcentral